This 428-nucleotide ribosomal RNA is filed under the name uncultured bacterium. RNAcentral describes it as "partial 16S ribosomal RNA". It matches the Rfam family "Bacterial small subunit ribosomal RNA", at positions 354 to 796 of the family's 1533-position model. The record is from RNAcentral.
GUGGGGAAUAUUGGGCAAUGGGGGAAACCCUGACCCAGCAACGCCGCGUGAAGGAAGAAGGCUUUCGGGUUGUAAACUUCUUUUACCAGGGAAAAACACAAUGAUGGUACCUGGAGAAAAAGCUACGGCUAACUACGUGCCAGCAGCCGCGGUAAUACGUAGGUGGCAAGCGUUGUCCGGAAUUACUGGGUGUAAAGGGCGUGUAGGCGGAACUACAAGUCAGGGGUGAAAACUAUGGGCUUAACCCAUAGCCUGCCUUUGAAACUGUAGUCCUUGAGUGCUGGAGAGGCAAUUGGAAUUCCUAGUGUAGCGGUGAAAUGCGUAGAUAUUAGGAGGAACACCAGUGGCGAAGGCGAAUUGCUGGACAGUAACUGACGCUGAGGCGCGAAAGCGUGGGGAGCAAACAGGAUUAGAAACCCGUGUAGUCC